GAAUAUUGGGCAAUGGGGGGAACCCUGAUCCAGCCAUGCCGCGUGUGUGAAGAAGGCCUUUUGGUUGUAAAGCACUUUAAGCGAGGAGGAGGCUACCUGGAUUAAUCCUUUAGGUUAGUGGUCGUUACUCGCAGAAUACGCCCCGGCUACCUCUGUGCCAGCAGCCGCGGUAAUACAGAGGGUGCGAGCGUUAAUCGGAUUUACUGGGCGUAAAGCGUGCGUAGGCGGCCAAUUAAGUCAAAUGUGAAAUCCCCGAGCUUAACUUGGGAAUGGCAUUCGAUACUGGAUGGCUAGAGUAUGGGAGAGGAUGGUAGAAUUCCAGGUGUAGCGGUGAAAUGCGUAGAGAUCUGGAGGAACACCGAUGGCGAAGGCAGCCAUCUGGCCUAAUACUGACGCUGAGGUACGAAAGCAUGGGGAGCAAAC
RNAcentral lists this ribosomal RNA (423 nucleotides) under uncultured bacterium. RNAcentral describes it as "partial 16S ribosomal RNA". It matches the Rfam family "Bacterial small subunit ribosomal RNA", at positions 359 to 773 of the family's 1533-position model. The record is from RNAcentral.